RNAcentral lists this unclassified non-coding RNA (313 nucleotides) under uncultured fungus. Its description in RNAcentral is "sequence contains ITS1". The stretch from base 1 to 101 matches the Rfam family "5.8S ribosomal RNA", at positions 50 to 154 of the family's 154-position model. Lineage: Eukaryota; Fungi. The record is from RNAcentral.
GAAUUGCGAAAAUUAAUGUGAUUUGCACCAUCCGUGAAUCAUCGAGUCUUUGAACGCACAUUGCACCUGGCCCCGUGCCAGGUAUGCCUGGUUGAGUGUCGCCUGCAUCUUCCUCUCGGAGAGGGCUGGAGAGCUUUGCGCGAGCAACUCUCUGCAACGCAGCAGGACCGCGCCCAGCACCGCUGGAGAUGCGUGAACGUCGUAGCCUCUGUGCCUAGCGUUUAUCGUGUCUCGAGCGAGCUGCGGCUGCAGUCCGAGCAACACACACUCAAUCUUUGACCUCAACUCAGGCAAGACUACCCGCUGAACUUAA